Molecule: ribosomal RNA, 424 nt
Filed under: uncultured prokaryote
Description: bacterial SSU rRNA
Rfam family: Bacterial small subunit ribosomal RNA
Source: RNAcentral
UGGGGAAUAUUGGACAAUGGGGGCAACCCUGAUCCAGCCAUGCCGCGUGAGUGAUGAAGGCCUUAGGGUUGUAAACCUCUUUUCUCAAGGAAGAUAGUGACGGUACUUGGGGAAUCAGCAUCGGCUAACUCCGUGCCAGCAGCCGCGGUAAUACGGAGGAUGCAAGCGUUAUCCGGAAUAAUUGGGCGUAAAGCGUUCGUAGGUGGUUUUGUAAGUCUGCUGUUAAAGCGUGUAGCUCAACUACAUAUAGGCAGUGGAAACUACAAAACUUGAGUGCGUUCGGGGCAGAGGGAAUUCCUAGUGUAGCGGUGAAAUGCGUAGAGAUUAGGAAGAACACCGGUGGCGAAAGCGCUCUGCUAGGCCGCAACUGACACUGAGGGACGAAAGCUAGGGGAGCGAAUGGGAUUAGAUACCCGCGUAGUCC